CCUACGGGUGGCAGCAGUGGGGGAUAUUGCACAAUGGGGGGAACCCUGAUGCAGCGACGCCGCGUGGGUGAAGAAGCGCCUCGGCGCGUAAAGCCCUGUCAGCAGGGAAGAAAAUGACGGUACCUGAAGAAGAAGCCCCGGCUAACUACGUGCCAGCAGCCGCGGUAAUACGUAGGGGGCAAGCGUUAUCCGGAUUUACUGGGUGUAAAGGGGGCGAAGACGGCGAUGCAAGCCAGGAGUGAAAGCCCGGGGGCCAACCCCGGGACUGCUCUUGGAACUGCGUGGCUGGAGUGCAGGAGGGGCUGGCGGAAUUCCUGGUGUAGCGGUGAAAUGCGUAGAUAUCAGGAGGAACACCGGUGGCGAAGGCGGCCUGCUGGACUGCAACUGACGUUGAGGCCCGAAAGCGUGGGGAGCAAACAGGAUUAGAUACCCUUGUAGUC
RNAcentral lists this ribosomal RNA (440 nucleotides) under uncultured bacterium. Its description in RNAcentral is "partial 16S ribosomal RNA". It matches the Rfam family "Bacterial small subunit ribosomal RNA", at positions 338 to 795 of the family's 1533-position model. The record is from RNAcentral.